Zeugodacus cucurbitae (melon fly) is the source of this 2076-nucleotide long non-coding RNA. RefSeq lists it as uncharacterized. The transcript is spliced from 3 exons. Lineage: Eukaryota; Metazoa; Arthropoda; Insecta; Diptera; Tephritidae. The record is from RefSeq and is a predicted model, not a curated record.
UCAAAUAAAAUUUUUUUAUUAUUAUUUUCUUCGCUAUUUUUCCAUUUUUACAUAUUUUCUAAUUUUUUUCCUGGUCUUCCACGAAGGUUUCAAGACACACUCUUGAAUAGUUUACACAUCGACUACAGCGCAGUCUGCCGUAUCCUAUGUCCAAUUUGUUGAAGAUCGGAAAUAAGUACUGGAUCGAUGACAAAGAGACCAGCGACUUGGAAAAGACCUUUAAACUGAAUCAAUGAUGGAGAUAUCUUCGAAAAAAUCAAAAGUGAAAAGAAGAGGAGCGAAAAGGAGACAAAGCUCUGAGACAAACGUGAUAUAGGAAUAGAGCAAGAGAGAGAAUAAGAGAGAGUCUUAGUUUAUGAAAUGGUUAUUUUGAACUUCAUCUUUAAGAGAAAGCGAGCGCGAGAUGUAAAAAAACAAGAGAGAGGAAGAGAUUUUGAGAGGCUUUGCGCUUGAAAUGGUUACUUAUUUAUCUUUUUUAAUUGUGGGAAUAUAAAUGAAUUAAAGAUCGAAAGAGAGAAAGAAAUUGAGAAUGACCGGGAUAGAGAAGGUGAGAUGAAGGGAGAGAGGGAAUUAUAAACUUCGAGAGAAUCUUAAUUUAUAAAACGAACGUCUGGAAUCGACCAGCUGAAAUAAACCUUCGUUACAGUUUCAUAUGAAAGGACUGAAAAAGAACUGAAUUGAUUGCCUAGCUCAAUAACUCAAGAGAAAAAGUAUUUAACAUUACCAAAGAAAAAUGUAUAAAAAAAUGAUUUCAAAAUAUUGAAAUUAUUUUCCAAAAAAUAAUUUAAUCAAUAUUUGUACUCUGGAUAUUAUUCACAUGCAUGUUUAUUUAUUCGCUAUUACUUGAAAUGCAUAGAACUCACUAUUUUCUUGACCCAACUAUGCAAAUGAACUCAGUGAAAAUACCAAACCAACUUGAUUUGAAAGCAAAAACGAAACGGAACGUGGUCACUCCAGUUGAACAAUAACAAAAAAACAAAAAACAAACAUAUAUUGAUUCAGCAAAUUUUUGCAUAUCAUUGAAUACUUGAAUAACUCGCACUAUCAACAUCCAACAACGGAGCACAAUGCUUCAAUGGACACAGGGUUGCAUGGAAUGCAUUUUUGGUUAUGGCUUUUAGCUCUAUAUGUAUAUAUUUCAUGCGAGAUAACAAGUUUUGAGUUUUGGUGGUGUUUGUGGGUCGGAUGGUGAAGAUCUAGAAAUUUAGUUUAAAUAUAUGAAUUUGAAGAAUCUCAAUUGGACUCUCUCACCUUUGCUAUUUUUUCGACAAACUUUAACAGUUCCUAUUCUAAACUAGAAGUUUUAGAACAAAAGCCAAACCAUUGAAUUGAAUGUAUAAAAUUCGUAAAAACAAUGGACUACCCUAGUAUAAAUAUAAAAAACCACUGUCCAACGGACAUUGCCAUUCAAUUGAAUGGAAAUGAAAAUGGAAUAUUCGACUGCCUCACUAGCUCCAUAACUGAGUAGCUGGGAGAAGGAAGAGCGCACCAAAUCGGUUGUGAGUACAUAUACAAACUAUAUAUAGCGCUGCAGCGGUAGUUGCUGUUUGAAUUUAUUGCAUACAGCCGACGGCCAGUGUCAUAGCCACAGCUGAAGCAAAGUCAAAGCAAACUAGUCGAUACUGCGCCUCCAAGGCAGAGAGAAAGACAGGAAUGUGUUCGCAGCGAAAAAUAAUAGCAAAACCAACCUAGUUGGCGACUGCAGCUGACAUUGGUUACGUGGCUUUGCCAUUUACAAUCGACAAUUUGCUAUGGGCUGUUGCUUACUUGUGCUUAUGUGCUAAGAAGCACACAUACCUUUCAUUCAGCACCAUAAUAACCAGCGGCACUCCUGCCUGCUGCAGCUCUCCCUCGCCCGUUUAAGUGACCACAGCCAACAUCCAGGCUUAAAUAUGGCAAACAUUUGAAUUGACUUCGCAUUGUUUCGGUGCUUGUAUUUGCAAGGUAUUGUUUAAUGCAGUGAAUGCCUAUUUGGCUGCCUAUUCUAACAAGCAAGGAUCCAAGUGACCAGGUUUUUUGCGGAUACUUUUCGAUUCAGUCAAAAUUUGCUUAGCUGUGAGUUCGGAAGCCGUUUUC